This 404-nucleotide ribosomal RNA is filed under the name uncultured bacterium. Its description in RNAcentral is "bacterial SSU rRNA". It matches the Rfam family "Bacterial small subunit ribosomal RNA", at positions 57 to 507 of the family's 1533-position model. The record is from RNAcentral.
GCAAGUCGAGCGAGGUAGCAAUACCUAGUGGCGGACGGGUGAGUAACGCGUGGGAACGUACCCUUUGCUACGGAAUAGCCCCGGGAAACUGGGAGUAAUACCGUAUGUGCCCUUCGGGGGAAAGAUUUAUCGGCAAAGGAUCGGCCCGCGUUGGAUUAGGUAGUUGGUGGGGUAAUGGCCUACCAAGCCGACGAUCCAUAGCUGGUUUGAGAGGAUGAUCAGCCACACUGGGACUGAGACACGGCCCAGACUCCUACGGGAGGCAGCAGUUGGGAAUCUUAGACAAUGGGCGCAAGCCUGAUCUAGCCAUGCCGCGUGAGUGAUGAAGGCCUUAGGGUUGUAAAGCUCUUUCAGAUGGGAAGAUAAUGACGGUACCAUCAGAAGAAGCCCCGGCUAACUCCGUG